Molecule: ribosomal RNA, 621 nt
Filed under: uncultured bacterium
Lineage: Bacteria
Description: bacterial SSU rRNA
Rfam family: Bacterial small subunit ribosomal RNA
Source: RNAcentral
AAAAACUCCGGUGGUAUGAGAUGGACCCGCGUCUGAUUAGCUAGUUGGUGAGGUAACGGCCCACCAAGGCGACGAUCAGUAGCCGGCCUGAGAGGGCGACCGGCCACAUUGGGACUGAGACACGGCCCAAACUCCUACGGGAGGCAGCAGUGGGGAAUAUUGCACAAUGGGGGAAACCCUGAUGCAGCGACGCCGCGUGAGUGAAGAAGUAUUUCGGUAUGUAAAGCUCUAUCAGCAGGGAAGAAGAAAGACGGUACCUGACUAAGAAGCCCCGGCUAACUACGUGCCAGCAGCCGCGGUAAUACGUAGGGGGCAAGCGUUAUCCGGAUUUACUGGGUGUAAAGGGAGCGUAGACGGCCGUGCAAGUCUGAAGUGAAAGCCCAGGGCUCAACCCUGGGACUGCUUUGGAAACUGUGGAGCUAGAGUGCUGGAGAGGUAAGUGGAAUUCCUAGUGUAGCGGUGAAAUGCGUAGAUAUUAGGAGGAACACCAGUGGCGAAGGCGGCUUACUGGACAGUAACUGACGUUGAGGCUCGAAAGCGUGGGGAGCAAACAGGAUUAGAUACCCUGGUAGUCCACGCGGUAAACGAUGAAUACUAGGUGUUGGAGAGCAAAGCUUUUCG